This 193-nucleotide long non-coding RNA is filed under the name Dermacentor andersoni. RNAcentral's name for it is "uncharacterized LOC126523661". The record is from RNAcentral. Lineage: Eukaryota; Metazoa; Arthropoda; Arachnida; Ixodida; Ixodidae.
CGUUCUUUUGUGUUCCGUCUGCAUUUCGACAGGGCACAGCUGCACUACUGGACUACAGCAGGCUGAUGGCAUCCGGCGGAGCUUCGUACGGCAACGACGGCUGCUCACCUGGUUCCACAACUUUGGAUGAAUGCAGAAGAAGCCCGGAACGAGCAUUUCUAUAGAGCAAAAUAAACAUUUCAUCAUUUCAGAA